RNAcentral lists this ribosomal RNA (253 nucleotides) under uncultured bacterium. Its description in RNAcentral is "partial 16S ribosomal RNA". It matches the Rfam family "Bacterial small subunit ribosomal RNA", at positions 524 to 776 of the family's 1533-position model. The record is from RNAcentral.
UACGUAGGGUGCGAGCGUUAAUCGGAAUUACUGGGCGUAAAGCGUGCGCAGGCGGUCUCGUAAGACAGGUGUGAAAUCCCCGGGCUCAACCUGGGAACUGCGCUUGUGACUGCGAGGCUGGAGUGCGGAAGAGGGAGGUGGAAUUCCACGUGUAGCAGUGAAAUGCGUAGAUAUGUGGAGGAACACCGAUGGCGAAGGCAGCCUCCUGGUCCAGCACUGACGCUCAUGCACGAAAGAGUGGGGAGCAAACAGG